Molecule: long non-coding RNA, 212 nt
Filed under: Panax ginseng (ginseng)
Lineage: Eukaryota; Viridiplantae; Streptophyta; Magnoliopsida; Apiales; Araliaceae
Description: long non-coding RNA (PGIN_LNC009061)
Source: RNAcentral
UCAUCGGUUAGAGGAGGCCCAAGGUCCCGAAGAGCCUUGAGUUCUCGGAUUUCUUCUUCCAUCUUCUGAGGCUUAUUCAGAUGACGAGUUUCUGCCAGCUCUAGUUUUUGGAUGGUUUUAGUCAAGAUCUUAGCAUCAGCCUUUAGCUCUUUGAUCUUCUCCAUCCUUAUUUCGCUCCUCUGAACCAAAUCAACAUUCAUCUUGACGAUCUC